This 403-nucleotide ribosomal RNA is filed under the name uncultured bacterium. RNAcentral describes it as "bacterial SSU rRNA". It matches the Rfam family "Bacterial small subunit ribosomal RNA", at positions 357 to 775 of the family's 1533-position model. The record is from RNAcentral.
GGGAAUAUUGGACAAUGGAGGAAACUCUGAUCCAGUGACGCCGCGUGAAGGAAGAAGGUCUUCGGAUUGUAAACUUAUUUUGUCAGGGAAGAAAAAAAUGACUGUACCUGAAGAAAAAGCACCGGCUAACUACGUGCCAGCAGCCGCGGUAAUACGUAGGGUGCAAGCGUUAUCCGGAUUUAUUGGGUUUAAAGGGUGCGUAGGCGGAUUCUUAAGUCAGCGGUAAAAUGUCCGGGCUCAACCCGGGCCGGCCGUUGAAACUGGGGGUCUUGAGUGGGCGAGAAGUAUGCGGAAUGCGUGGUGUAGCGGUGAAAUGCAUAGAUAUCACGCAGAACUCCGAUUGCGAAGGCAGCAUACCGGCGCCCGACUGACGCUGAGGCACGAAAGCGUGGGGAUCGAACAG